AUGACAGGAGUGGCUCCAUCUACCGCGGAGUGCUGCUCUGCUUUUCGUCCGGCAGCAGGCGGCGCCGACGCGCCUCCCGUCCCCUCGCCGCCUCGUCUUCUCUGCGUUAAAGCGAAACUGAACUGCAAGCUCGAGGGGUACGCGCCUCUUGUUGCGGGCUUUCAGCUGCAGACAGAGAGGUGUCGACGACGGCCGGACCAUGGAGCGGCGGCCUUGCGAAAUUCAGAUCGACGGGCUGGAGUGGAAAAUUCGCCUGCUGUUAGUUCCAAUCCCGUGCGGUGUUCCCCCUGGAUCCAGCCAAGAACCCACCCGUUCCUCUGCCAUUGUGAGUUGGUAGAUCGAGUGACUGGAGCAAUGGCUGUUCGGAGAGGAGAUGGAUAUCACUGGCCGUAG
This 393-nucleotide ribosomal RNA is filed under the name Triticum aestivum (bread wheat). Its description in RNAcentral is "partial small subunit ribosomal RNA". Lineage: Eukaryota; Viridiplantae; Streptophyta; Magnoliopsida; Poales; Poaceae. The record is from RNAcentral.